GGAAUUAAUUUCAAUUUGUGAAGGCAGAUCAAAUAAUGUUUUUCAGAGUAACUUUUCUUUAUUUCUUAGACAAGAAGAAAUAUUCAAAGUGAACAUAUGUAUUGAUGCCACUCAAAAUAAAUUUUAUUAAAUUUUCAUUCUAAUUCUAGAUCACUACGUAUUGAAACUUUCUGAAAUAGACUAUAGUAAAAAAGAAAAGAAAUUGGAGAAAUUCCUUGUUCACAACCUGUACUUGUUAAAAAUUGUACACAGUUAUUACUUCAGUCUUGCUGAAAUUCAGAUUGAUUUUCAUGUAUCUAUGAUUUGAGCUGCGCUGGAUAGAAAUCCACAAAUGAAUAUUAAAACAUCUUUACUCAUAUCGGGUUGAAAAAAAUAUAUAUGCUUUCAAUGCUAAGUCUGUAACUAUAUGAAAAUUGAGAUGAUAAAACAACCAUGCAAAACAGGCCAACAUUCAUGUUUUAUUUCAUAUUUAAAUAUUCAAAGAUCAAUCGA
This 492-nucleotide long non-coding RNA is filed under the name Mytilus galloprovincialis (Mediterranean mussel). The record is from RNAcentral. Lineage: Eukaryota; Metazoa; Mollusca; Bivalvia; Mytilida; Mytilidae.